GACAGAGGGGGCAAGCGUUGCUCGGAAUCACUGGGCGUAAAGAGCUCGUAGGCGGUCUGUCGCGUCUGCCGUGAAAACCCGAGGCUUAACCUCGGGCUGGCGGUGGAUACGGGCAGACUAGAGGUAGGUAGGGGAGAAUGGAAUUCCCGGUGUAGCGGUGAAAUGCGCAGAUAUCGGGAGGAACACCGGUGGCGAAGGCGGUUCUCUGGGCCUUACCUGACGCUGAGGAGCGAAAGCGUGGGGAGCGAACAGG
RNAcentral lists this ribosomal RNA (253 nucleotides) under uncultured bacterium. Its description in RNAcentral is "partial 16S ribosomal RNA". It matches the Rfam family "Bacterial small subunit ribosomal RNA", at positions 524 to 776 of the family's 1533-position model. The record is from RNAcentral.